AUUGAACGCUGGCGGCAGGCCUAACACAUGCAAGUCGAACGAGUGGCGGACGGGUGAGUAAUGUCUGGGAAACUGCCUGAUGGAGGGGGAUAACUACUGGAAACGGUAGCUAAUACCGUAUACUACAAGAUGCGCCCAGAGGGGACUAGCUAGUUGGUGGGGUAACGGCUCACAAAGGCGACGAUCUCUAGCUGGUCUGAGAGGAUGACCAGCCACGCUGGAACUGAGACACGGUCCAGACUCCUACGGGAGGCAGCAGUGGGGAAUAUUGCACAAUGGGCGCAAGCCUGAUGCAGCCAUGCCGCGUGUAUGAAGAAGGCCUUCGGGUUGUAAAGAACUUUCAGCGGGGAGGCGUUACCCGCAGAAGAAGCACCGGCUAACUCCGUGCCAGCAGCCGCGGUAAUAC
RNAcentral lists this ribosomal RNA (406 nucleotides) under uncultured bacterium. RNAcentral describes it as "partial 16S ribosomal RNA". It matches the Rfam family "Bacterial small subunit ribosomal RNA", at positions 30 to 526 of the family's 1533-position model. The record is from RNAcentral.